Molecule: ribosomal RNA, 253 nt
Filed under: uncultured bacterium
Lineage: Bacteria
Description: partial 16S ribosomal RNA
Rfam family: Bacterial small subunit ribosomal RNA
Source: RNAcentral
UACGUAGGGUGCAAGCGUUGUCCGGAAUUAUUGGGCGUAAAGAGCUCGUAGGCGGUUUGUUGCGUCGGCUGUGAAAUCCCGAGGCUCAACCUCGGGUCUGCAGUCGAUACGAGCAAACUAGAGUGUUGCAGGGGAGACUGGAAUUCCUGGUGUAGCGGUGAAAUGCGCAGAUAUCAGGAGGAACACCGGUGGCGAAGGCGGUGAUCUGGGCCGACACUGACGCUGUAGAGCGAAAGCGUGGGGAGCGAACAGG